This 460-nucleotide ribosomal RNA is filed under the name uncultured bacterium. RNAcentral's name for it is "partial 16S ribosomal RNA". It matches the Rfam family "Bacterial small subunit ribosomal RNA", at positions 338 to 795 of the family's 1533-position model. The record is from RNAcentral.
CCUACGGGGGGCAGCAGUGAGGAAUAUUGGUCAAUGGACGAGAGUCUGAACCAGCCAAGUAGCGUGAAGGAUGACUGCCCUAUGGGUUGUAAACUUCUUUUAUAUGGGAAUAAAAUGUUCCACGUGUGGGAUUUUGUAUGUACCAUAUGAAUAAGGAUCGACUAACUCCGUGCCAGCAGCCGCGGUAAUCCGGAGGAUCCGAGCGUUAUCCGGAUUUAUUGGGUUUAAAGGGAGCGUAGGUGGAUUGUUAAGUCAGUUGUGAAAGUUUGCGGCUCAACCGGAAAAUUGCAGUUGAAACUGGCAGUCUGGAGUACAGUAGAGGUGGGCGGAAUGCGUGGUGUAGCGGUGAAAUGCUUAGAUAUCACGAAGAACACCGAUUGCGAAGGCAGCUCACUGGACUGCAACUGACACUGAGGCUCGAAAGUGUGGGUAUCAAACAGGAUUAGAUACCCGAGUAGUC